AAGCAAGACACAGGUGGACCGAGGCUCAUGUGCCUGGCUACUCCUUGCUCUUUUGGUGCUCAAAAGGAGAUUACCAGGCCGCCGCUCGCGAGCGACCACAUAUCCUUCCUUGCAGUGUUGAGCAGGAGGUUUGCAGGCCACCGCUGGCCUCUGCCUCUCCAUCCUCCCUGAGGUUGGACUAGAGUUCUGCGGGCACGGCUCACAUCGUUACUCCUCCGCCUCUUUGUCCUCCUCGACGCUUAACAGGAGGGGCACAUGCUACCUCCAAACAUCAUCAGAAGGUGAUGCCUCAGUCGCUGGCAUAUAGAAGAACAAGAUUCACAUAAGGUUUAUCUGAACAAGGAAUAGUACUCUGGAAGAUCUAUCAAGAUGUUACUUGUUCUUGCUCGCACUCAUUUCUCAUGUUAUUAUUCUGGCCUAGCCUGACCAAACUUUUCUACACAUUAACAUAUAGUGAGGGUGAGUAAUUCAGGGAAUGCUUAUUUUAAUUUUCUUAUUAUUUUCAGAGAUACCAUACAAUAACCAUUUGUAUACAAAACCUGUGGUGGCACAUGUUUUGGUCGUUUACUAUUUCUAGGCAUCACGUACUACUAAUCUUGGUCUGUAUUUUUGUUGAGGCAAAGGAGGUGAGAGCUCUGAAAUAAAUCUGUUACUUAUGUUAAGUUUCCCA
This is a long non-coding RNA of Lolium rigidum, 670 nucleotides long. RefSeq lists it as uncharacterized. The record is from RefSeq and is a predicted model, not a curated record. Lineage: Eukaryota; Viridiplantae; Streptophyta; Magnoliopsida; Poales; Poaceae. The transcript is spliced from 2 exons.